Molecule: RNA transcript, 1245 nt
Organism: Ixodes scapularis (black-legged tick)
Lineage: Eukaryota; Metazoa; Arthropoda; Arachnida; Ixodida; Ixodidae
Gene name: glutathione peroxidase 3-like
Exons: 3
Source: RefSeq, a predicted model, not a curated record
AGGGCGUUCGCGCACACCGCCCCCCCUACGGCACGUCUAGCGAUAGGGCUCUACGAGGUGCGGCGUGCACGACCUUCCUGCCGUUCCGGAUAAAACGAGCGCCCCGCCGAACGACCGGGGACAAACCGCGGACGGCGCACCGUUGACGAUGUUGUCGGCGCUCUCGCUAGCGCUGCUCUGCGCGGUCGGGGCCGGCGUGGGACCGGUCGCACAGGCCGCGGCACCGCUCCAGAUCGACUGCAUCCAAGACGAGUCCGCCGAGCGUCUGCAAAACUUCACCUUCAAGGAUGUCCAGGAGAAGGACACCAUCCCCCUGAGCAGGUUCAAGGGCUACGUCGCUCUGGUGGUGAACGUGGCCACCUACUGAGGCCUGACCCCGACCUACCUGCAACUGAAUGCACUGCAGGCCAGGUUCGGGCAAAGGAACUUCACCGUGCUCGGGUUUCCCUGCAACCAGUUCGGAAAGCAAGAGCCCGGUACCCGCCAGGAGAUUCUGAACGGGAUCAAGUACGUGCGUCCGGGCAACAACUACGUGCCCAACUUUCCCAUGUUCCAGAAGAUCGAGGUGAACGGGGAAAACCAGCACCCGCUCUACACUUUCCUCAAGGGUCGCUGCACCUCGCCGAAUCCGGUUUUCAGCGCCAAGGAUAAACUCUUCUACUCACCCCAGAACAACAACGACAUCCGUUGGAACUUCGAGAAGUUUCUGGUUGACAGGCGAGGAGUGCCGGUGAAACGCUACGAGCCCCGCUACUCGCCCGACGAGGUCGCUCGCGACAUCGAGGUCCUCACAAGAUCGAGCUAGAAAGCCUCUGCGUCGAGCAGGACGAAGGUGAACAGAAACACCCCGUGUACGCAUGCAACAGUACCUCAGUCAGUCAUCUCUUGUUGUUCUUCUUUGUUUUCACAUUGUUACCAAGUCAUUCCAUCCUUCAAUGUUGUAUUAUUUGCUGUUUAAGAACUCGUGUUUCUUUAUCGAAACGCCACUGAAAAGCUGACGUUGAGUUCGUCCGUUCAUCACUUGCUGGGGAGCGGUCAGGGUAGCCCGUAUGACGAAUAGUUCUCAAAUCACAAGAAGGAACAGUUCUGAAGAUGGCUGUCGGCAAGCCCCCUUGUGCAUUCGGGGUCUUGAUGCUCCGACGGUUCUGGCUACCACGUGACUACUCUUCCAUCGGCGCUGUCGGGCGAACGGCAAUGAAGCAGUCUCGGUGUGUUUAUCGAAUAAAGUUCGUGAGAGCUCUGUGA